This 83-nucleotide transfer RNA is filed under the name Cominella virgata brookesi. Its description in RNAcentral is "tRNA-Arg". Lineage: Eukaryota; Metazoa; Mollusca; Gastropoda; Neogastropoda; Buccinidae. The record is from RNAcentral.
GUAUAAAAAGCGAGAAAUUUGCAUUCGGUUUCGGCCCGUAUCUUAGGGGUGGUAAGUCCUCUUUUAUACUUAAGUAACUGGAA